ACUGCCUGGUGUCGCAGGUUGAAGAGCUUCUCAGGAGGAGGCAUAUAUAGGUGGCCCUUGGUCUUGUGCAUUUUGUGACAAAGGAAUUUCCCCUCUGAAUCGCAUUGCUCUCCUGGAGCCCCUAGAGCCUGUGGCUCAAGCAGCGCAAUCGGUCUGUGCAGUGUCCCUGACGUCAUCCAGCGUAUGCAUAAACCCUGCUAUUGUCUUACUGCUACAGCAGGGUUGGAGAUUGCAGUAUCCGCUGUUGCUGCUGCUCCCAGUCCUGCCCCUGCUGCUACCCAGUCCUGCCUCACUGCAUCUCAAAGAGCUACGUCGGCCUUCCUUUGCCUGGUGGAUUUUCCAAAGCUGCUUUUCGGUUUUUGGUGCUGUAAGAGACCUUGCUUUGCAAUCACACGGGAGAAAACUGAAGCUCGUGAGAGGAGAAUCUGGCAGCUGGACACAGCUUGGACUGCAUUGUCUGGCUUCAUGACCCCUGCUGUGUAGCCGGCUCAUCUCUUCACUCUCACACGUACACUCUCCUCGCUUUUUCUUCCUCCCCCCCUCCUUUUCUUUCUCCUAAUUUUUUAAAAGCAGCCUCUGGAGCCAGCCAUGUUUGGCACUGAAUCUUCAUUGAGCAUGUUUUUGAACACAUUAACACCGAAGUUCUACGUGGCUCUGACAGGCACUUCCUCACUAAUAUCAGGGCUUAUUUUGAUAUUUGAAUGGUGGUAUUUUCGCAAGUAUGGAACUUCAUUCAUUGAACAAGUCUCAGUGAGCCACUUGCGCCCCCUUCUGGGAGGGGUUGACAACAACUCUUCCAACAAUUCUAAUUCCAGCAAUGGAGACUCAGAUUCCAACAGGCAAAGUGUUUCAGAAUGCAAAGUAUGGCGAAAUCCACUAAAUUUAUUUAGGGGUGCUGAAUAUAACCGGUAUACUUGGGUGACAGGACGAGAGCCUCUUACCUACUAUGACAUGAAUCUGUCUGCCCAGGACCACCAGACAUUCUUUACGUGUGACUCGGAUCAUCUGCGCCCCGCAGAUGCAAUAAUGCAGAAAGCCUGGAGAGAGAGAAACCCCCAAGCUAGGAUUUCUGCAGCUCAUGAAGCCUUGGAGAUAAAUGAAAUUAGGUCCAGAGUUGAAGUUCCCCUAAUUGCUUCCUCUGCCAUCUGGGAGAUAAAAUUGUUACCAAAGUGUGCAACUGCUUAUAUUCUCUUGGCCGAAGAGGAAGCAACAACCAUUGCUGAAGCAGAAAAACUAUUUAAACAGGCUCUGAAGGCUGGAGAUGGCUGUUACCGGCGUUCUCAGCAGCUACAACAUCAUGGAUCCCAGUAUGAAGCCCAACAUAGACGAGACACCAAUGUCUUGGUCUACAUCAAAAGAAGACUAGCAAUGUGUGCCAGAAGACUCGGGAGGACCAGGGAAGCUGUGAAAAUGAUGAGAGAUUUAAUGAAGGAGUUCCCCCUUCUGAGCAUGUUCAAUAUCCAUGAAAACCUUUUAGAAGCGCUUCUGGAACUCCAAGCAUAUGCUGAUGUUCAGGCAGUCUUAGCAAAGUACGAUGAUAUAAGCUUACCAAAGUCAGCAACAAUAUGCUACACAGCUGCCUUGCUCAAAGCAAGAGCUGUCUCUGACAAAUCGCCAGUACCUACUGCAACAUCUUUUCUCCCUACACAGCGACUCCAGCUUGGGAGGGCAGGGCCAGGGUUGUCACAGCUUCCCCUGUGGUGUCUGCCUGCCAAGCACAGCUCUGGAGUUAGCCCUGGGUGUGAGAUUCUCUCCCGAGGCUGCCUCUCGGCGGGGGCUGAGCACAGCAGAGAUGAAUGCAGUAGAGGCCAUUCACAGAGCUGUGGAAUUCAAUCCUCAUGUGCCAAAAUACCUACUAGAAAUGAAAAGCUUAAUCCUGCCCCCAGAGCACAUCCUGAAGAGAGGAGACAGUGAAGCAAUAGCAUACGCAUUCUUCCAUCUUGCACACUGGAAGAGGGUGGAAGGGGCCUUGAAUCUUUUGCAUUGUACAUGGGAAGGCACUUUUCGGAUGAUUCCUUAUCCCUUGGAAAAGGGGCAUCUAUUUUAUCCCUAUCCAAUCUGCACAGAAACAGCAGACCGAGAGCUGCUUCCAUCUUUCCAUGAAGUCUCAGUUUACCCAAAGAAGGAGCUUCCUUUCUUUAUUCUCUUUACUGCUGGAUUAUGUUCCUUCACAGCCAUGCUGGCCCUCCUGACACAUCAGUUCCCAGAACUUAUGGGGGUCUUCGCAAAAGCUUUCCUCAGCACUUUGUUUGCACCCUUAAACUUUGUCAUGGAGAAGGUGGAGAGUAUCCUGCCAUCCAGCCUGUGGCACCAGCUGACGCGGAUCUGAGAGAAGCCCCGUGCUCCAGUCGCCUCCCCCAGCGGCUGCCACCAUCUCCUCUGUGCCAACUCCUCGUGGACCGCAAGAAAGCAUGACUGAAAAGGGAAGCCAUUCCGAGAUUUUAAACUGUUCAUGGACUGUUCCAUAUUAAAAGCUGUUUUUUGUUGUACAAAAUUUAUUGAUGUUCAGUUCUAUUUUAUUUUGCCUUCAGAAAAGAAAAAAGUAAAAAAUAAACUUUUGUGUAUUGCAGCAA
Carlito syrichta (Philippine tarsier) is the source of this 2573-nucleotide RNA transcript. It is a transcript of the gene named suppression of tumorigenicity 7, with no coding region annotated. The record is from RefSeq and is a predicted model, not a curated record. NCBI's taxonomy places the organism in Eukaryota, Metazoa, Chordata, Mammalia, Primates, Tarsiidae. The transcript has 17 exons.